Molecule: long non-coding RNA, 418 nt
Organism: Photinus pyralis (common eastern firefly)
Lineage: Eukaryota; Metazoa; Arthropoda; Insecta; Coleoptera; Lampyridae
Exons: 2
Source: RefSeq, a predicted model, not a curated record
CUUCAUCCACGGGUAUAAAUUCGACGAUCGGCACUAUACCGUUUAGUUAUUCUGAAACAUGUAUUUCAAAGUUCUGUUAGCUACCGUUCUUCUCUGUGGCGCCGUGGUUGUGGGGACAGAGUGCUACUAUUGCAACAGUACGAAUCACUACUGCAAAACACUCCAAUCGGCAACCUCGGACACCACGUAUUGCAGUGGCAACUGCAUUAUGUACGUUCAGACCAAUACUCAACGUACUAUCAGAGAUUGUGUCGGCAGUGGAUGUCCCGCCUCAAACCAACGUGACUGCGAGAUUUGUUCCCGAAAUCUGUGUAACGACGCGGCUUUGUAUUAGAAAGACUGUCGGUUGUUUUUUUUAUUUUGUAUGUUGUAUAUAUGUUUGUCAAUUAUGGACAAAUAAAAUCGAUCGUCCCUUAAA